GGGGUUGGGGUAGUCCGCACGAGCGCACCCCCUAUCCUUAUUUGCCAGCACGUAAUGGUGGGAACUCUAGGGAGACUGCCGGUGAUAAACCGGAGGAAGGUGGGGACGACGUCAAGUCAUCAUGGCCCUUACGAGUAGGGCUACACACGUGCUACAAUGGCGUAUACAGAGGGUUGCAAAGCCGCGAGGUGGAGCUAAUCUCACAAAGUACGUCGUAGUCCGGAUCGGAGUCUGCAACUCGACUCCGUGAAGUCGGAAUCGCUAGUAAUCGUGGAUCAGAAUGCCACGGUGAAUACGUUCCCGGGCCUUGUACACACCGCCCGUCACACCAUGGGAGUGGGCUGCAAAAGAAGUGGGUAGUUUAACCUUCGGGAGAACGCUCACCACUUUGUGGUUCAUGACUGGGGUGAAGUCGUAACAAGGUAGCCCUAGGGGAACCUGGGGCUGGAUCACCUCCUU
RNAcentral lists this ribosomal RNA (459 nucleotides) under uncultured Shewanellaceae bacterium. RNAcentral describes it as "bacterial SSU rRNA". It matches the Rfam family "Bacterial small subunit ribosomal RNA", at positions 1071 to 1532 of the family's 1533-position model. Lineage: Bacteria; Pseudomonadati; Pseudomonadota; Gammaproteobacteria; Alteromonadales; Shewanellaceae. The record is from RNAcentral.